This 73-nucleotide transfer RNA is filed under the name Actinomycetota bacterium. RNAcentral's name for it is "Actinobacteria bacterium tRNA-Ile". It matches the Rfam family "tRNA". From Rfam's summary of the family: Transfer RNA (tRNA) molecules are approximately 80 nucleotides in length. Their secondary structure includes four short double-helical elements and three loops (D, anti-codon, and T loops). The record is from RNAcentral. Lineage: Bacteria; Bacillati; Actinomycetota.
GGGCCGGUAGCUCAGUGGUUAGAGCAGGCGACUCAUAAUCGCUCGGUCGCGGGUUCGAUACCCGCCCGGCCCA